RNAcentral lists this ribosomal RNA (253 nucleotides) under uncultured bacterium. RNAcentral's name for it is "partial 16S ribosomal RNA". It matches the Rfam family "Bacterial small subunit ribosomal RNA", at positions 524 to 776 of the family's 1533-position model. The record is from RNAcentral.
UACGUAGGGGGCAAGCGUUGUCCGGAAUCAUUGGGCGUAAAGAGCGUGUAGGCGGCUCGGUAAGUCCGCUCUGAAAGCCCGGGGCUCAACCCCGGGAGGCGGGCGGAUACUGUCGGGCUAGAGUCCGGAAGAGGCGAGUGGAAUUCCUGGUGUAGCGGUGAAAUGCGUAGAUAUCCGAAAGAACACCGGAGGCGAAGGCGGCUUGCUGGGCGUGAUCUGACGCUGAGGCGCGAAAGCGUGGGGAGCGAACAGG